RNAcentral lists this unclassified non-coding RNA (312 nucleotides) under Basidiomycota sp. Its description in RNAcentral is "partial contains 5.8S ribosomal RNA, internal transcribed spacer 2, and large subunit ribosomal RNA". Lineage: Eukaryota; Fungi; Basidiomycota. The record is from RNAcentral.
CGCACCUUGCGCUCCCUGGUAUUCCGGGGAGCAUGCCUGUUUGAGUGUCAUGAAAACCCUCAACCUUAGAUUGGUUAACACCUUUCUUUGGCUUGGAUUUGGACGUUUGCCGAUGAUAAGUCGGCUCGUCUUAAAAGUAAUAGCUGGAUCUGUCUCGCGACAUGGUUUGACUUGGCGUAAUAAGUAUUUCGCUAAGGACAUCUUCGGAUGGCCGCGUUGCAAGACUAAAGACCGCUUUCUAAUCCAUUGAUCUUCGGAUUAAUAUUCUUGACAUCUGGCCUCAAAUCAGGUAGGACUACCCGCUGAACUUAA